UUGCUCCCAUUUCUCAGCGGCGGACGGGUGAGUAACACGUGGGCAACCUGCCCUACAGACUGGGAUAACUCCGGGAAACCGGAGCUAAUACCGGGUAAUACAUAGCAUCGCAUGAUGCAACGUUGAAAGUUGGCCUUUGGCUAACACUGUAGGAUGGGCCCGCGGCGCAUUAGCUAGUUGGUAAGGUAACGGCUUACCAAGGCCACGAUGCGUAGCCGACCUGAGAGGGUGAUCGGCCACACUGGGACUGAGACACGGCCCAGACUCCUACGGGAGGCAGCAGUAGGGAAUCUUCCGCAAUGGACGAAAGUCUGACGGAGCAACGCCGCGUGAGUGACGAAGGCCUUCGGGUCGUAAAGCUCUGUUGUUAGGGAAGAACAAGUACCGUUCGAAUAGGGCGGUACCUUGACGGUACCUAACCAGAAAGCCACGGCUAACUACGUGCCAGCAGCCGCGGUAAUACGUAGGUGGCAAGCGUUGUCCGGAAUUAUUGGGCGUAAAGCGCGCGCAGGCGGUCUCUUAAGUCUGAUGUGAAAGCCCACGGCUCAACCGUGGAGGGCCAUUGGAAACUGGGGGACUUGAGUGCAGAAGAGGAGAGUGGAAUUCCACGUGUAGCGGUGAAAUGCGUAGAUAUGUGGAGGAACACCAGUGGCGAAGGCGGCUCUCUGGUCUGUAACUGACGCUGAGGCGCGAAAGCGUGGGGAGCGAACAGGAUUAGAUACCCUGGUAGUCCACGCCGUAAACGAUGAGUGCUAGGUGUUGGGGGGGUUCCACCCUCAGUGCUGAAGUUAACACAUUAAGCACUCCGCCCGGGGGAGUACGACCGCAAGGUUGAAACUCAAAGGAAUUGACGGGGGCCCGCACAAGCAGUGGAGCAUGUGGUUUAAUUCGAAGCAACGCG
This 901-nucleotide ribosomal RNA is filed under the name Bacillus sp. (in: firmicutes). RNAcentral describes it as "bacterial SSU rRNA". It matches the Rfam family "Bacterial small subunit ribosomal RNA", at positions 79 to 963 of the family's 1533-position model. Lineage: Bacteria; Bacillati; Bacillota; Bacilli; Caryophanales; Bacillaceae. The record is from RNAcentral.